CCCGUGUGGGCGCUGGGUGGGGCUGUCAACCCUGGAACCGGACCAGUCAUGACCAGAAAACUUGCCUCAGAAAGUCUACUCUCAACACGCACCAUUGCAAAUGAGGUAUGGAAGCUGAAGAAGAUAGCAAGCAAAGAAGUGAAGGUUUCACAAGAAAAUGAAUAAACUCAAGUCAACUGAAAAUACACAAAGAAACAGAUGACAAGGAUAUAACAACUUUCUGUAAUGGUACACAGUUGAGGUAUACAGCGUGGAUCAUAAUAAUUACCACAAAGUGAACUCCUCCACAUUAGAACAAUCCAGAUGAUUAAGGAAAUUUUGCAGGAGAAAAAGGGACACUAGAAGAAAGCAAUGGAGCAGGCAAUGCAGAUCUUCUUUAAAAAGAAAGCUUGUCUUCUAAGAAAGGCCACCUUCCUUAUCACUUCCAACUCCAGAGGAGUAGAACCAGAA
Long non-coding RNA from Neogale vison (American mink), 450 nucleotides. RefSeq lists it as uncharacterized. NCBI's taxonomy places the organism in Eukaryota, Metazoa, Chordata, Mammalia, Carnivora, Mustelidae. The transcript has 5 exons. The record is from RefSeq and is a predicted model, not a curated record.